Molecule: ribosomal RNA, 759 nt
Filed under: Triticum aestivum (bread wheat)
Lineage: Eukaryota; Viridiplantae; Streptophyta; Magnoliopsida; Poales; Poaceae
Description: partial small subunit ribosomal RNA
Source: RNAcentral
AUGAAUCAGUUGGAGACACUGUCACAUGUUGAAGUUUCCCACAGUGUUAAUGAUUUAACUGGUGUUGGUCAUCUAUUACAGCUGAGGAAACUGGGUGUGAUUCUCCAGGGUAAGAAAGGUGGCCUGAGUUAUCUAUUUCAACAGAUCGAAAAAUUACAUGGUUGCCUUCGCUCCUUGUCUAUUCAGAUCAACGAACCGGUUUCUCAAACUGAGGAUACUCUUAGCUCAGAGGAGGUGGUCACAUUAGCCUCCCCUCCAAACCUUCUUCAAAGCUUAAACAUUAGCGGCAUCACAAGUGGGUUUCUACUCUGGAUUGCAGAGCUCGAUCAACUUACCAAGAUAACACUGAGCCAGACUUACCUAGGGGAAGAUGAUAUAUGCAUCCUCGGCAAGCUUGCAGCUCUGCGCUGCCUCAGGCUUCGGCGCAGUUCAUACGCCGGCAGCGGGCUCACAUUCAAGCAAGAAGAGUUCAAGAUCCUCAGGUCCUUGGUCGUUGAUGAUGGUACCAUCACCGACAUUAUCUUUGACACUGGAGCCGCUCCCAAGCUGGAGAGGAUUGUGUGGUCCUUUGCCAAAAUGGAGUCUAUUUGUGGACUCCUCCGCCUUCCCAAAUUGAAGAAUGUCGAGCUCAAUGGUGACUGCGACCCAGAUCCAGUGAGACUAGCACUUGAAAAGCACCCCAACCUUCCUGAUUUCAAGCACAAGCCACACCAGGGGCAACAAGAAGAUAGAGCUGUGGUUGCUGCCUCACCUCAAUGA